UACGUAGGGUGCGAGCGUUGUCCGGAAUUAUUGGGCGUAAAGAGCUUGUAGGCGGUUUGUCGCGUCUGCCGUGAAAAUCCGGGGCUCAACUCCGGAUCUGCGGUGGGUACGGGCAGACUAGAGUGAUGUAGGGGAGACUGGAAUUCCUGGUGUAGCGGUGAAAUGCGCAGAUAUCAGGAGGAACACCGAUGGCGAAGGCAGGUCUCUGGGCAUUAACUGACGCUGAGGAGCGAAAGCAUGGGGAGCGAACAGG
RNAcentral lists this ribosomal RNA (253 nucleotides) under uncultured bacterium. RNAcentral's name for it is "partial 16S ribosomal RNA". It matches the Rfam family "Bacterial small subunit ribosomal RNA", at positions 524 to 776 of the family's 1533-position model. The record is from RNAcentral.